This 253-nucleotide ribosomal RNA is filed under the name uncultured bacterium. RNAcentral describes it as "partial 16S ribosomal RNA". It matches the Rfam family "Bacterial small subunit ribosomal RNA", at positions 524 to 776 of the family's 1533-position model. The record is from RNAcentral.
UACGAAGGGGGCUAGCGUUGCUCGGAAUGACUGGGCGUAAAGGGCGCGUAGGCGGCUUACAUAGUUAGGCGUGAAAUUCCUGGGCUCAACCUGGGGACUGCGUCUAAUACAUGUAGGCUUGAGUGUGAAAGAGGGUCGUGGAAUUUCCAGUGUAGAGGUGAAAUUCGUAGAUAUUGGAAAGAACACCAGUGGCGAAGGCGGCGACCUGGUUCAUUACUGACGCUGAGGCGCGAAAGCGUCGGGAGCAAACAGG